RNAcentral lists this ribosomal RNA (492 nucleotides) under uncultured bacterium. RNAcentral describes it as "partial 16S ribosomal RNA". It matches the Rfam family "Bacterial small subunit ribosomal RNA", at positions 29 to 507 of the family's 1533-position model. The record is from RNAcentral.
AGUGAACGCUGGCGGUAGGCCUAACGCAUGCAAGUCGAACGGCAGCACAGUAAGAGCUUGCUCUUACGGGUGGCGAGUGGCGGACGGGUGAGGAAUACAUCGGAAUCUACUUUUUCGUGGGGGAUAACGUAGGGAAACUUACGCUAAUACCGCAUACGACCUACGGGUGAAAGCAGGGGAUCUUCGGACCUUGCGCGAUUGAAUGAGCCGAUGUCGGAUUAGCUAGUUGGCGGGGUAAAGGCCCACCAAGGCGACGGUCCGUAGCUGGUCUGAGAGGAUGAUCAGCCACACUGGAACUGAGACACGGUCCAGACUCCUACGGGAGGCAGCAGUGGGGAAUAUUGGACAAUGGGCGAAAGCCUGAUCCAGCCAUACCGCGUGUGUGAAGAAGGCCUUCGGGUUGUAAAGCCCUUUUGUCGGGAAAGAAAAGCAGCAGGUUAAUACCCCGCUGUUCUGACGGUACCCAAAGAAUAAGCACCGGCUAACUUCGUG